GGGCUGUAGCUCAGUGGAAGGGCCUCUGCUUUGCAUGCCAAAGGUACCCGGUUCAAUCCCUGGCAUGUCCA
Molecule: transfer RNA, 71 nt
Filed under: Sphaerodactylus townsendi
Lineage: Eukaryota; Metazoa; Chordata; Lepidosauria; Squamata; Sphaerodactylidae
Description: tRNA-Ala
Source: RNAcentral